Molecule: microRNA precursor, 91 nt
Filed under: Musa acuminata subsp. malaccensis (wild Malaysian banana)
Lineage: Eukaryota; Viridiplantae; Streptophyta; Magnoliopsida; Zingiberales; Musaceae
Description: mir-160 microRNA precursor family
Rfam family: mir-160 microRNA precursor family
About the family: The hairpin precursors (represented here) are predicted based on base pairing and cross-species conservation -- their extents are not known. In this case the mature sequence is excised from the 5' arm of the hairpin.
Source: Rfam by way of RNAcentral
CUGUGCCUGGCUCCCUGCAUGCCACUCGUAUCGACGCCAAUCAUACCCACGGAUUGGCAACUGCGGCUGGCGUGUGAGGAGCCAAGCAUAC